UGGAGCCAUUACCCUGGCUGUUGGGG
RNAcentral lists this non-coding RNA (26 nucleotides) under Rattus norvegicus (Norway rat). Lineage: Eukaryota; Metazoa; Chordata; Mammalia; Rodentia; Muridae. The record is from RNAcentral.